Molecule: ribosomal RNA, 253 nt
Filed under: uncultured bacterium
Lineage: Bacteria
Description: partial 16S ribosomal RNA
Rfam family: Bacterial small subunit ribosomal RNA
Source: RNAcentral
UACGUAGGGACCGAGCGUUGUCCGGAAUCAUUGGGCGUAAAGAGCGUGUAGGCGGCUUGUUAAGUCUUGCGUGAAAUCUCGGGGCUCAACCCCGAGCGGUCGUGAGAAACUGGCAGGCUAGAGUGCGGGAGAGGAGAGUGGAAUUCCUGGUGUAGCGGUGAAAUGCGCAGAUAUCAGGAAGAACACCCGUGGCGAAGGCGGCUCUCUGGAACGCAACUGACGCUGAGACGCGAAAGCUAGGGGAGCAAACAGG